This 492-nucleotide ribosomal RNA is filed under the name uncultured bacterium. RNAcentral's name for it is "partial 16S ribosomal RNA". It matches the Rfam family "Bacterial small subunit ribosomal RNA", at positions 29 to 507 of the family's 1533-position model. The record is from RNAcentral.
AGUGAACGCUGGCGGUAGGCCUAACACAUGCAAGUCGAACGGCAGCACAGUAAGAGCUUGCUCUUACGGGUGGCGAGUGGCGGACGGGUGAGGAAUACAUCGGAAUCUACUUUUUCGUGGGGGAUAACGUAGGGAAACUUACGCUAAUACCGCAUACGACCUACGGGUGAAAGCAGGGGAUCUUCGUACCUUGCGCGAUUGAAUGAGCCGAUGUCGGAUUAGCUAGUUGGCGGGGUAAAGGCCCACCAAGGCGACGAUCCGUAGCUGGUCUGAGAGGAUGAUCAGCCACACUGGAACUGGGACACGGUCCAGACUCCUACGGGAGGCAGCAGUGGGGAAUAUUGGACAAUGGGCGCAAGCCUGAUCCAGCCAUACCGCGUGGGUGAAGAAGGCCUUCGGGUUGUAAAGCUCUUUUGUUGGGAAAGAAAAGCAGCAGGUUAAUACCCCGCUGUUCUGACGGUACCCAAAGAAUAAGCACCGGCUAACUUCGUG